GGAAUUGUUCGCAAUGGGCGCAAGCCUGACGACGCAACGCCGCGUGGAGGAUGAAGGUCUUCGGAUUGUAAACUCCUGUUGAUCGGGACGAACAUCCAUCGGGAUAACACCCCGGAGGACUGACGGUACCGGUUGAGGAAGCCCCGGCUAACUCCGUGCCAGCAGCCGCGGUAAUACGGAGGGGGCUAGCGUUGUUCGGAAUUACUGGGCGUAAAGCGCGCGUAGGCGGUUCUUCAAGUCAGAGGUGAAAGCCCGGUGCUCAACACCGGAAUUGCCUUUGAAACUAGGGAACUUGAAUCCAGGAGAGGUGAGUGGAAUUCCGAGUGUAGAGGUGAAAUUCGUAGAUAUUCGGAAGAACACCAGUGGCGAAGGCGGCUCACUGGACUGGUAUUGACGCUGAAGUGCGAAAGCGUGGGGAGCAAA
This 423-nucleotide ribosomal RNA is filed under the name uncultured bacterium. Its description in RNAcentral is "bacterial SSU rRNA". It matches the Rfam family "Bacterial small subunit ribosomal RNA", at positions 358 to 772 of the family's 1533-position model. The record is from RNAcentral.